UGGGGAAUAUUGCACAAUGGAGGGAACUCUGAUGCAGCGACGCCGCGUGAGUGAUGAAGGAAUUCGUUUCGUAAAACUCUGUUCUAUGGGAAGAAAAGGACUGUACCAUAGGAGAAAGCUCCGGCUAAAUACGUGCCAGCAGCCGCGGUAAUACGUAUGGAGCGAGCGUUGUCCGGAAUUAUUGGGCGUAAAGGGUGCGCAGGCGGCUUUACAAGUUGGGUGUGAAAUAUUGUGGCUCAACCACAAACGUGCAUCCAAAACUGCAAAGCUUGAGUUAAGGGGAGGUAAGUGGAAUUCCUGGUGUAGCGGUGGAAUGCGUAGAUAUCAGGAGGAAUACCGGUGGCGAAGGCGACUUACUGGACUUAAACUGACGCUCAGGCACGAAAGCGUGGGGAGCAAACAGG
This 404-nucleotide ribosomal RNA is filed under the name Fusobacteriota bacterium. RNAcentral's name for it is "Fusobacteria bacterium partial 16S ribosomal RNA". It matches the Rfam family "Bacterial small subunit ribosomal RNA", at positions 355 to 776 of the family's 1533-position model. Lineage: Bacteria; Fusobacteriati; Fusobacteriota. The record is from RNAcentral.